AUGUCAGGAAGAGGCAAAGGAGGAAAGGGUCUUGGAAAGGGAGGAGCCAAACGACACCGUAAGGUUCUCAGAGAUAACAUUCAGGGUAUCACCAAGCCUGCUAUUCGUCGUCUUGCAAGACGUGGUGGUGUGAAACGUAUCAGCGGUCUAAUUUAUGAAGAAACUCGCGGUGUUCUCAAGAUCUUUCUUGAGAACGUCAUUCGUGAUGCUGUGACCUACACCGAGCAUGCUCGCCGUAAGACUGUUACCGCGAUGGACGUUGUUUACGCUCUCAAGAGACAGGGAAGAACUCUCUACGGUUUCGGCGGUUAG
Molecule: long non-coding RNA, 312 nt
Filed under: Vicia faba (fava bean)
Lineage: Eukaryota; Viridiplantae; Streptophyta; Magnoliopsida; Fabales; Fabaceae
Source: RNAcentral